This 1393-nucleotide long non-coding RNA is filed under the name Anser brachyrhynchus (Pink-footed goose). Its description in RNAcentral is "lncRNA (ENSABRG00000008831.1)". Lineage: Eukaryota; Metazoa; Chordata; Aves; Anseriformes; Anatidae. The record is from RNAcentral.
UCUCGGGAAGCUGGAAAUACAGUGGGAGGGAAAAUAUAAUCUUUCUCUCAUUUCAGAUGAACUUCUGCCUUCCUUGAAAUUCCUGUGAAUUUCAAAGCCUUUGAUGGUCAUGAAACAUCAGAGGAGCCUUUAUGCUAAGCGAAACCUAUGUGAAAGAAGCUCUGCUUCUGAUCCCACCAGUACCAGCUACGCACCCCGAUCCUCCUCCUUGUGUUUGUCAUCCUCCCAGCCCAUGCAGCCAUGCUGCAUUUGUUCGGGUGGUCGUGGCUCUGCCUUAAUGUGCUGUGUAGGGCGAUACUGAAGCAAGACCCUUUGUGGGACUUGCCCACAGGACCUCUGGGCCACCCCGGCUGCUCCCCUGCAGGCCAGCCUCUCCUGUAGGGCCUUGCUUUGUGCUCUGAGAGGCCUCGCCUGCAGCAAAGCCUGCGGUGCCUUUAUCCCAGCAUCCCUGACUGGGUCCACAUCACAGCAAGGGGCUUUCCUGGGGGAGCCCUGACACCAGCAGGCACGGGUAGCAGCUCUGCAGGCAGCCACGGGUCCCUGCGAUUGCAGGCACCGAGGAGGAGGGCAGCCUGACCACCCGCACGAGCCGGGGCAGCCGCUCCUUGGGAUGGGAGCAGCCUGGGCACAGCCGGUGGGACGCGGCGGGGAGUUUCUUCUCCACAGCAGAGCCAGCAGCAGGAGGCUGUGCAGGGGGUGCCACCGAAAUCACAGGGGCUGCAGGGUUGGAAGACGGCCCCAGCAGGUCCCUCCUGAACGGGGCACUGCUCUGUGUAAGGGCAAAUACAGUGCCACUGCUUCCUGCUCCUCAUCUCCCAGCCACUUCCAGAGGCUCUGGUGGGUGUCCCACCAGGAAAUCCCUCCAGAAUUGUUGCUGGCAGGGAACAGCAUCUGAGCAAGCAAAGGGGCAGACAGAAGAACCAAGAGCAGACAUCCCAAGGCUGGUGUUUUCCACAUGGGCGAUGUGGAGAAGCAGGCCCCGGUGUGGGCACGGCCAGAGAAGAAGUCUGUGGAAGCCAACCCACACGGCGUCGGGGACCUUGCUGGGAGAGGGCAGCAAGCGCCCUGGGGAGCCGUUCUGCUGCUGCAAGGAGGCUGCAGAAUGCAAUAUAAGUAUUCAGUAUCUGAGGCAAGCGUGGUGAGGGGAGAGGAAGGGAAAUUAUGCUGAGAUCCAGAAGUGUGACAGGGUGGCUUGGAAGACAAAUCCUCCAGAAGAAAGCAAGUAAUUCAGAAAAGCUUUAUUGUAAGUGAAGAAAUGAAGAUCUGUGCGUUCACCAGAAAGGCUCCAAGUGGUCUGGUCUGAAUGUAAAGCAGAGGAUGCAUUUGCAGCACUAAGCAGCAAGGCGAGGAGAAAAAAAAAACCACAACAUAAUAAAAGUGGCAAAGUUCAACA